AUCAAAGGGCGUGUCUCAAUGUCCCUGCUCCACCCUCAGCUUUCUGCUUUCUUUGAGUGUCUGCAACACACAGGGAGCUCUUCCUUGCUCUCCCCACUCAGAAGUAGAGUGCCAUUGCUUGUUACCUGGUGCUUAUAAGGCCGACGGGAGUGGAGCAGCGAAGAGGUUUUCCAUUGUCCUGGCCCCCCAAUAGUCUUAGGGAGGCCCUGUGUGUCUGGAUCUUAGGAGUGGGGCUUGCUCUGUGAUCCUGCCCCUCCUCCCAGUGUCAACCAAAUUCUGCCUUGCAUCUGGUAGAUCUCCCAUGAGAGAUGGUUUCUCGUCCAUCCCCUUGUGGUAGGAGACAUCUAAUGGUAUUGGUGUAGGAUCUCGGACUUAGGACUCUUUUGUACCCCUCACCCAGGCACUUACAGCUACAAACUUCCCUGUGAUCACUGCUUUAGCUACAAUCCAUACAUUUUGGACCUGAGCUAAAAGGCAAGCCUGCCAGUUAAAUGAUGAUUGAUUAGAUGGUAAGAGACCAUCCAGAGAGAUCUACCUCCCUGGAGAUAUGUGCUUUUCUAAGACUACAAGGAACACUGCGACUUUUCCUGAGGCUUUGGGUUACUGGAAGAUGAGGAAGGAUAAAUGUGAAGUUGUGGACUGUUUUAAAUUCCACCUGACCAUUCUGCUUUCCUGAGCAACCUACCCACGCCAAUUUAGUACUGGCUUUCUUCAGAGCAUUAGGACAAUGGGAUUCUGUCUACAGCUGUGCCAUGAACGGACUCUGAUUCCUUAGGCAAAGAAUCUCUUCUUGCUAAAAUAGUUAAUUUGAAGGAAUAACAGGAAUAUAUAAAAUAAUGUCUCAAAGUGUUUUGGUCACCUGGUAAAGAACUAGAUUUCACAUGAAUGCAACAUAAUCAGUACUAUCCUUAGCUAUUGAUGACAUAUCUAAAUGGGACAUUCUGGGCAUUGUCCGGAGCAUGCUGAACAGAAGCAUUAUAUUUUCUUAGAAAAACUUAAUGGUGCCCUCAUUUGACCAGCUUUUCACCAUGUCCAAACCUUCCAGAACAUUGUGAUUUAAAUGAUCAUAGUCUGUUCAAUUUCACUGCAAGAACAUCAUUACAUGUUUUAUUAUAAGAACAUUAAAUAUUUUCCUUCCGUGUUGGUUUUUCAAGCUGUUCUUGUUCUAGAGUAAAAGUUUCAUGUACUCUAACAAAACCUUUUCAGUUAUACAGACAGGUAACUAUCUCCUAUUUCCCAAAUUUUCAGAAUGAGUAAAUUCCAGAGGCACUGAUGAUACCAAUAUACUCAUAUUACCUCAAGUGAAGAAAGAAAGGAACACACGAACACAGAUAGUACCUGGAAUAGUGAUUAUUUAAUAGUAAGUGAUGGAUUAGUAAGUGAAUGUGUAAGUGACAUCAGCAAAAUUGAGUGAAGAUCCCAGUGACAUCUAGAUGUGAUUAGAAACUCUUACCAUUUCAACACUUGUAAGUUCAGGACAUUCAUUUAUUUUAUAUUUAUUUAUUGAAUCACUUGUCAUUUAUGUGCCACUUUCUGUUUUCUAAAUGCUUUACAAUAUUAGAAUCUAGGAAGACAGUGGUGAGGAAGACAGAUUCAGUCCUUGUUCUUGUGAAGUUUACAUUCCAGUAGAAGGGGCAGGACCACACCCUCCCAUCGCACACACAUACACACAGAACAUGAACACGGACCACAAGAGAGCGGCACAUUGCGACUAAUGUCAGGGUCAUCACAGAGAAAGAGCCGAGGGAGCCGUUACAGGUAAGGGAAGGCUGUUCUGAGAAGGUGACAUUUUGGCAAAGAUCUUUUAAUGGAGGACAGAGGAGGCAGGAAAACAACCAGAGAAUGCCUAGCAAGAAGUUGGCCUGUUGCAAAAACUGUGAGAAAAUCAUCCACUCUGAUUGGCGAGGAUGUGGCCAGCAGGGGGAAUUGCAGGAAAAUAUGACAAGGAUUUACCCAAGAAGGGACUAUUUGCAUAUAAUUGUAUUAAAAAAACCAGAGCCAUAAACACAUGUAAUAUUGAUAAACAAUGUCUUUUAUGAUCACAAACAGCAUUACAGUGUCUUUUUUUUCAGAAAUAUAUUAUGCAACUAUUUAUAUCCCAAGAUAACUGCAGACAUUCAGACAUUCACAGAAAGAAACAAAGACCGUUAUUGUCUCCAGUUUAUGAGCUUCAGGAAAAAAACGUGGGCGUGUGUGUGUGUGUGCGUGCAAGCACGUGUAAGAGAGAGAGCAAGAACAGUUAAUUACUAAACAUUAGAAGAAAGUCAAACCAUGUGUGGGCUCAUGUCAUUCAGGCCAUCACAAUCAUUUUAUUCCACAUGACAAAUGGAAUAAGAAAUAGUGAU
This 2345-nucleotide long non-coding RNA is filed under the name Homo sapiens (human). RNAcentral describes it as "HSALNT0247255". Lineage: Eukaryota; Metazoa; Chordata; Mammalia; Primates; Hominidae. The record is from RNAcentral.